AUUGAACGCUGGCGGCAUGCCUUACACAUGCAAGUCGAACGGUAACAGGUCUUCGGAUGCUGACGAGUGGCGAACGGGUGAGUAAUACAUCGGAACGUGCCUAGUAGUGGGGGAUAACUACUCGAAAGAGUGGCUAAUACCGCAUGAGAUCUACGGAUGAAAGCAGGGGAUCGCAAGACCUUGUGCUACUAGAGCGGCCGAUGGCAGAUUAGGUAGGUGGUGGGAUAAAAGCUUACCAAGACGACGAUCUGUAGCUGGUCUGAGAGGACGAACAGCCACACUGGGACUGAGACACAGCCCAGACUCCUACGGGAGGCAGCAGUGGGGAAUUUCGGACAAUGGGCGAAAGCCUGAUCCAGCAAUGCCGCGUGCAGGAUGAAGGCCUUCGGGUUGUAAACUGCUUUUGUACGGAACGAAAAGCCCCGGGUUAAUACCCUGGGGUCAUGACGGUACCGUAAGAAUAAGCACCGGCUAACUACGUGCCAGCAGCCGCAGUAA
RNAcentral lists this ribosomal RNA (498 nucleotides) under uncultured bacterium. RNAcentral's name for it is "partial 16S ribosomal RNA". It matches the Rfam family "Bacterial small subunit ribosomal RNA", at positions 30 to 523 of the family's 1533-position model. The record is from RNAcentral.